UUCGAUUCCUUCAAGCGAACAAUCCAAUUUGCGAUCGGCGACUUCCUAAGUUGAAGCAUUGCUUCAAUUUUGAGAAAAAGGUUAUCGGGUUUGAGCUGAGUUACAAAUCAUGAGGUUUAAACGGGGAAGCAAAGUUGAGGUAAUGAACAUGAAGCAGUCAUCUGCAUCACGGCGUCGUGCAGAGAAUCUCUCUGAUAAUGGGUAUAUGUGCACUGUAAGGUAUGAUUACUAUCCUGGAAUUGAAAG
Molecule: unclassified non-coding RNA, 246 nt
Filed under: Hevea brasiliensis (rubber tree)
Lineage: Eukaryota; Viridiplantae; Streptophyta; Magnoliopsida; Malpighiales; Euphorbiaceae
Source: RNAcentral